RNAcentral lists this ribosomal RNA (437 nucleotides) under uncultured Clostridium sp. RNAcentral describes it as "partial 16S ribosomal RNA". It matches the Rfam family "Bacterial small subunit ribosomal RNA", at positions 341 to 792 of the family's 1533-position model. Lineage: Bacteria; Bacillati; Bacillota; Clostridia; Eubacteriales; Clostridiaceae. The record is from RNAcentral.
ACGGAAGGCAGCAGUGGGGGAUAUUGCACAAUGGAGGAAACUCUGAUGCAGCAACGCCGCGUGAGGGAAGACGGUCUUCGGAUUGUAGACCUAAGUAGUCAGGGACGAGAUAAAUGACGGUAUCUGAAGAGUAAGCUCCGGCUAACUACGUGCCAGCAGCCGCGGUAAUACGUAGGGAGCGAGCGUUGUCCGGAUUUACUGGGUGUAAAGGGUGCGUAGGCGGGUUUGCAAGUCAGGCGUGAAAUACCGAGGCUUAACUUCGGGGCUGCGCUUGAAACUGUAGAUCUUGAGUGAAGUAGAGGUAAGCGGAAUUCCUAGUGUAGCGGUGAAAUGCGUAGAUAUUAGGAGGAACACCCGUGGCGAAGGCGGCUUACUGGGCUUUAACUGACGCUGAGGCACGAAAGUAUGGGGAGCAAACAGGAUUAGAUACCCUGGUA